Long non-coding RNA from Lemur catta (Ring-tailed lemur), 844 nucleotides. RefSeq lists it as uncharacterized. Lineage: Eukaryota; Metazoa; Chordata; Mammalia; Primates; Lemuridae. The transcript has 2 exons. The record is from RefSeq and is a predicted model, not a curated record.
CUGCUCUGGACCCCACGUGCUUGGUGGAGCUCACUGAAAGAGCCAGGGGAUCCCUGAAGGCCAAAUGCAGAUUUCUGGGAGAUGAUAUGAUCCAGACUCUAAUGAUAUCACAAGCAACGCCCAUGAGCUGUGGGGGACAUACUCACUCCAAGGCUUCUGUCUGUUUCUCCACGCUGGCAUGAGAGCCUACUGCGAUCUGGAGUCCUGCAGAGCUUCUGAGUGCACCUCAGUGGAAAUGAGCAACUGGACCAAGGCCCAUGACCAGAGCAACCUAAGCCAAAUCUGGCCCUGCACAAUCUCCUCCCACAUUCAGUGCAGAGAGCAGCCACCGCCACUCCAUCAAACCAGAGCUGCAGCCGGAAAACAAAACCCAGAGCAUUCUUCUGUGCAGCUCAGGCAGCUGGGAAGGCUUUUAUGCCUGCUUAUUCCAGACAGUCCUCAGUUUCCCACGGCCAGCGUUGACGUUCACCCCUGUGAGCCCCCCUACCCAGGGAAUCUGGGCUGCGGGAAGGACAGAGAUGGAGUUGUUGGCAAUUAUUUCACAAAUGACAUUUCAAAACUAUUCUUCCCCUGAUGGACUUUUUGCUAGAUCCCUGUUGCUUCUUGCUACACUAGGCUGUCACUCAGAGUUCAAGUUGGGCUCAUGCCCUGGACCUCACCUGGCCCACCACCCUACUGGGAGGAAGUGAUCACCGAGCAAGUCUCAAGCCAGUGGAGAUGGAUGGAUGGAUAACGUAGGGUGCUCACGAGCAAAUAUUUAUGGGCAACACAGGUUUCUGCAACAUCCCCAAGAGAACUGGUUGCAGAAAAAGUGGGAGAGAUGGGAAUAAAGAGACCACAAAAG